CCUACUGGAGGCAGCAGUAAGGAAUAUUGGUCAAUGGACGAAAGUCUGAACCAGCCAUGCCGCGUGAAGGAUUAAGGCCCUCUGGGUUGUAAACUUCUUUUAUCUGGGACGAAAAAAGGGUAUUCUUACUCACUUGACGGUACCAGAGGAAUAAGCACCGGCUAACUCCGUGCCAGCAGCCGCGGUAAUACGGAGGGUGCAAGCGUUAUCCGGAUUUACUGGGUUUAAAGGGUGCGUAGGUGGGCUUGUAAGUCAGUGGUGAAAUCUCCGGGCUUAACCCGGAAACUGCCAUUGAUACUAUAGGUCUUGAAUUAUCUGGAGGUAAGCGGAAUAUGUCAUGUAGCGGUGAAAUGCUUAGAUAUGACAUAGAACACCAAUUGCGAAGGCAGCUUACUACGGAUAUAUUGACACUGAGGCACGAAAGCGUGGGGAUCAAACAGGAUUAGAUACCCUGGUAGUCCACGCCCUAAACGAUGGAUACUCGACAUCAGCGAUACACUGUUGGUGUCUGNGNGAAGANAUAGUAUCCACCGNGGAGAGAGNGCGAGAUUAGUUAAGUACGAAGAAGUUAGACGGCGNGAGACGNGCGACGGACGACGACGAGGGAGGAGG
RNAcentral lists this ribosomal RNA (612 nucleotides) under uncultured bacterium. Its description in RNAcentral is "bacterial SSU rRNA". The stretch from base 1 to 532 matches the Rfam family "Bacterial small subunit ribosomal RNA", at positions 338 to 873 of the family's 1533-position model. The record is from RNAcentral.